Molecule: ribosomal RNA, 274 nt
Filed under: uncultured bacterium
Lineage: Bacteria
Description: partial 16S ribosomal RNA
Rfam family: Bacterial small subunit ribosomal RNA
Source: RNAcentral
AUACGGAGGGUGCAAGCGUUGUUCGGAAUCACUGGGCGUAAAGGGCGCGCAGGCGGUUUGGUAAGUCAGAUGUGAAAGCCCAUGGCUCAACCAUGGAAGUGCGUUUGAAACUGUCAGACUUGAGUACUAGAGGGGAAAGUGGAAUUCCCGGUGUAGAGGUGAAAUUCGUAGAUAUCGGGAGGAAUACCGGUGGCGAAGGCGACUUUCUGGCUAGAUACUGACGCUGAGGCGCGAAAGCGUGGGGAGCAAACAGGAUUAGAAACCCUAGUAGUCC